CCUACGGGGGGCUGCAGUCGAGAAUUUUUGACAAUGGUGGAAACCCUGAUCGAGCGACGCCGCGUGGAGGAUGAAGGUCUUCGGAUUGUAAACUCCUGUCAUUGGGGAACAAUGCGUGACGGUUAACUGCCGCCGCGUUGAUAGUACUCGAAGAGGAAGAGACGGCUAACUCUGUGCCAGCAGCCGCGGUAAUACAGAGGUCUCAAGCGUUGUUCGGAUUCAUUGGGCGUAAAGGGUGCGUAGGCGGCGCGGUAAGUCGGGUGUGAAAUCUCGGGGCUUAACUCCGAAACUGCAUUCGAUACUGCCGUGCUUGAGGACUGGAGAGGAGACUGGAAUUUACGGUGUAGCGGUGAAAUGCGUAGAUAUCGUAAGGAAGACCAGUGGCGAAGGCGGGUCUCUGGACAGUUCCUGACGCUGAGGCACGAAGGUCAGGGGAGCAA
RNAcentral lists this ribosomal RNA (440 nucleotides) under uncultured bacterium. Its description in RNAcentral is "bacterial SSU rRNA". It matches the Rfam family "Bacterial small subunit ribosomal RNA", at positions 338 to 771 of the family's 1533-position model. The record is from RNAcentral.